This 231-nucleotide long non-coding RNA is filed under the name Volvox carteri. RNAcentral describes it as "long non-coding RNA (VCAR_LNC003071)". Lineage: Eukaryota; Viridiplantae; Chlorophyta; Chlorophyceae; Chlamydomonadales; Volvocaceae. The record is from RNAcentral.
GCAUGGGUAGGUCUACAGAUUGGGGUUGCCCACCCCAACCAUGUAUAACACACACACACAGCUGGUGUCAUCCAUAAGUAAAAGAAGACGGAGGAGGGCGAGUUGUGGCGCAUGUGCGCCAGAUUGCUCAUGAGACUCUCGAGUCCUGAGUACCUGCCCCGAGGUACUGGUAGGGUGCCGCGACGGGGUUUGUUGGGGGGUUGUACGACUCAUUUAACGACCCCUCGUGGG